GGAUCAGGUAGGAAUACCCGCUGAACUUAAGCAUAUCAAUAGCCGGA
RNAcentral lists this ribosomal RNA (47 nucleotides) under Trypethelium eluteriae. RNAcentral's name for it is "partial 28S rRNA". The record is from RNAcentral. Lineage: Eukaryota; Fungi; Ascomycota; Dothideomycetes; Trypetheliales; Trypetheliaceae.